Helianthus annuus (common sunflower) is the source of this 2364-nucleotide long non-coding RNA. RefSeq lists it as uncharacterized. The transcript is spliced from 12 exons. The record is from RefSeq and is a predicted model, not a curated record. Lineage: Eukaryota; Viridiplantae; Streptophyta; Magnoliopsida; Asterales; Asteraceae.
AUUAGGGUUUCUCAUUCUCAUAGCAUUUUAUCCGCCCCAUCGAGCUGCUUUAUCUCCAGGCGAUUCAAAAGGAGAUCUAGGGUUUCUCUUGGCGAUGCAAGAUCUGGCUUUCUCAAUGACACCAGAUAAGCGAAUCUCUCUCUAUACGACAUCCAAUCGACUAAGUUUGAAGGUGGUGAAGGGUUUGGAUCUGCCAAUCAGUGACGUAUGAGCAAGGGGGUGUUUGGUCUGCCAAUCGGUGAUGUAUGAGCAAGAUUUCACAAGAUCUAAAGACGACCUGGUGUCCGACGACUAGGGUUCCGGUGAUAGAAUUCUCAAGCUGAGCGGUGGCAAUAGAGACGAGUUCCCGGUUGUAGAUGGUGGUUGAGGUAGGUUCCGACAAACUAAGGCCCGUUCAUAUUGCCACUAACAAAGUAUUUGCCAAUAAAGUAUGUUGAACAUAUAUACAUGAGCAGUUCAGAGGUGAUCUUUUGGACUAUCUCAAUGACUUCAGACUCAGUUUUAUUCUACAGUUAUGCAGAUACAUGGUUCAAGGUUUGGGAGAGUAGGAAGAUGGAGCCGAAUGGGCUUAUGGUUACUCUCCAAGAGUCCAAUCGCUGGUCAAAUCUGUCAUGCAAGGUUUGGAUCUUAUUAGAAACCCUGGAAACGAGGCCACUGCUUCACUUUCGAAAAGGUUUAAGCUACAGUUCAGAAACAAGAUUGCCCUGUCGGUCUACACUGGGAGAGUCUUUUAGGCGAGCAUGAAUCGUCCAUUGAAAUACCCUUGGUUGAUGCUCGGAGUGACCAGAUAGUGAAUAUCAGGCCUGAAUCUGUUGCAAAACUGAAAAUACUAGGAUUUUGAGUUGGUGACGGUAACGAUGACGGUAGUUGGGCAUACGAACACUUUCAAGAAACCAUUAUGAGCGAACGGGAAGGGAAACGAUGAAUGCUUCAAGGAAAUCCUUGUUUGCAGCUAAACAAAGGCGUUUGUUAUGUUCGUAACAAGAUUUCUUUUACUCAUAGUGCGGAACAUACUAGAAACAGUCUGUACAGACUGGUGGCAGUAGUUGUGGAUGCUGAUUUGAUGAAUGGAGUGGAAGUACCAACGACGGAAGCAUUUGUCAUGAAGGACCGGCGUUAUAUCUAUCACAAAAACAUGUGUGCCCAUCUUUAUCAGAUAAGGUGUGCUAUUUAAAGCAGAUCGGCUAUAAGGGUCCUCGCUAUACACGUCCAAAAGACAGAUGUGUGCACUUUGAAGGAUUUGUUGAGACUACUCUACACGAAUCCAAAACGGCAUGAAGAGACUCUUGAGCUAAAAGCCUCUUGCAAGUUUUGGGAUGAAAUUGUAGACUCUUAACGGACAGAAGUUUGAUGAAAAAGAAUGUUUUGACGGGAAAGCGCAAAAAAUAAUGGACGGGAACUGGAGUUGAAAUAGAAGUUUGAGUAGAGUAUGAAGGAGGCGGUGGACAAGUCACACGAGUUAAACUUGUAUGUAAAAAAUUUAGAUGAUACGGUGACCGAUGAAAGUCUCAGGGAGUACUUUGCGCCUUUCGGUACUAUAACUUCCUGCAAGGUCAUGAGAGAUCCUAACGGAACUAGAAAAAGGUUCAGGUUUUGUUGCGUUUUCUACUUCUGAUGAAACUUCUAGACCUCUUAUGGAGAUGAAUGGCAAGAUGAUCGCUGGCAAGCCUCUUUAUGUAGCACUUGCGCAACGAAAAGCAAAGAAAAUAGAAGGGCACGAUUGCAGGCACAAUUUUCACAGAUGCAUUCAAUUGCAAUGGUGGAAAGAAUUUGGUGUUAUGUGGUUCAGCUCUUUCUGCAGAACAAAAGUUUAUGAUGGUUGACUUUGCGAAAACUAACGGAGCAUUAGUGUCAAAGUACUGGAAAGAUAACGUCACACAUGAGAUCGCUGUCACAGAUGCAAAUGGCGCAUUCACAAGAACAUUGAAAGUUCUCAUGGCUAUUUUGAACGGAAAAUGGGUGGUUACAAUGGAAUGGUUAAUGGCGUGUGUAGAUGCUGGACGUGUUGUGAACGAAGAACCAUACGAAGUAUGUUUAGAUACACAUGGUUGUUCCAGUGGGCCCACAGCAGGGAGGUUAAGAGCUCAAAGAUUGGCUGCGGUGGAAGGUGUAGCGCAAGAAUGCGGGUCGCGGGUUGUUGGGCAUACAUGGAUUUUGGGAUCAAUUGCUGUAUGUAGCUUGCUGCUUCUUAUAUCAAGGGUGCAACAAUGUUCUAUUAGAUUUUUAAGGUGCUUAAAACUUAUCUUUUAUGCAUGUUUUGGGGUUUUUUUGUCUCUUGGUUUAGAACUAUAACAGUUCAGAUGAAUUUUUUUGUUGAUUUUACUUAUGGAUAAAUAAUAGAUGCUGAAAGUUAUGCUUCACAAG